UGGGGAAUUUUGGACAAUGGGGGCAACCCUGAUCCAGCAAUGCCGCGUGUGUGAAGAAGGCCUUCGGGUUGUAAAGCACUUUUGUCCGGAAAGAAAUCCCCUGGGUUAAUACCUCGGGGGGAUGACGGUACCGGAAGAAUAAGCACCGGCUAACUACGUGCCAGCAGCCGCGGUAAUACGUAGGGUGCGAGCGUUAAUCGGAAUUACUGGGCGUAAAGCGUGCGCAGGCGGUUUUGUAAGACAGGCGUGAAAUCCCCGAGCUCAACUUGGGAAUGGCGCUUGUGACUGCAAGGCUAGAGUAUGUCAGAGGGGGGUAGAAUUCCACGUGUAGCAGUGAAAUGCGUAGAGAUGUGGAGGAAUACCGAUGGCGAAGGCAGCCCCCUGGGACGUCACUGACGCUCAUGCACGAAAGCGUGGGGAGCAAACAGG
This 429-nucleotide ribosomal RNA is filed under the name uncultured bacterium. RNAcentral's name for it is "bacterial SSU rRNA". It matches the Rfam family "Bacterial small subunit ribosomal RNA", at positions 355 to 776 of the family's 1533-position model. The record is from RNAcentral.